UUAGAUACCCCGGUAGUCCACGCCGCAAACUAUGGAUGCUAGCUGUGACACACAUCGACCUGUGUCGUAGCGAAGUUAACGCGUUAAGCAUCCCGCCUGGGGAGUACGGUCGCAAGAUUAAAACUCAAAGGAAUUGACGGGGACCCGCACAAGCGGUGGAGCGUGUUGUUUAAUUCGAUGGUAAGCGAAGAACCUUACCAAGGCUUGAAAUCCCGAUAGCAGUUCAUCGAAAGAAGAACCUCAUUUAGUUGGAUCGGUGACAGGUGAUGCAUGGCCGUCGUCAGCUCGUGUCGUGAGAUGUAUGGUUAAGUCCAUUAACGAGCGCAACCCUUAUGUUCAAGUUGGAUUUUUCUAAACAGACUGCCCUGGCAACAGGGAGGAGGGAGGGGAUGACGUCAGGUCAGUAUUUCCCUUACGUCUUGGGCUACAAACACGCUACAAUGGCCGGUACAAAGGGCAGCGAACCCGCGAGGGGAAGCAAAUCUCAUCAAAACCGGUCUCAGUUCGGAUUGCAGGCUGAAACUCGCCUGCAUGAAGCUGGAAUCGCUAGUAACGGUAGGUCAGCACACUACCGUGAAUACGUUCCCGGGUCUUGUACACACCGCCCGUCAAAC
Molecule: ribosomal RNA, 614 nt
Filed under: uncultured Candidatus Saccharibacteria bacterium
Lineage: Bacteria; Candidatus Saccharimonadota
Description: bacterial SSU rRNA
Rfam family: Bacterial small subunit ribosomal RNA
Source: RNAcentral